This 389-nucleotide ribosomal RNA is filed under the name uncultured fungus. RNAcentral's name for it is "bacterial SSU rRNA". It matches the Rfam family "Eukaryotic small subunit ribosomal RNA", at positions 286 to 667 of the family's 1831-position model. Lineage: Eukaryota; Fungi. The record is from RNAcentral.
GGGGAUGGUUCAUUCAAAUUUCUGGCCCUAUCAACUUUCGAUUGGUGAGUAGUGUUCACCAAUGGUGUCGACGGGUAACGAAGGAAUUAGGGUUCGAUCUCGGAGAGAACGCCUGAGAGACGGGUACACAUCCAAGGAAGGCAGCAGGCACGCAAAUUACCCAAUCCCGAUACGGGAGGUAGUGACAAUAAAUACUGAUGCAGGGUUCUUUUGGGUCUUGCAAUUGGGAAUGAGUACAAUUUAAACCCCUUAACGAGGAACCAAUUGGGAGGGCAAAUCUGGUGCCAGCAGCCGGGUAAUUCCAGUCCAAUUAGCGUAUAUUAACAGGUUGUCGCAGUUUAAAAAAGCUCGUAAGUUGAAAAUUUGGGCCUGGCUUUGGCCAGGGUUCC